UAUUGGGGCGCCGCGCGCGUGCGCGGCUGAGAAGCACCCAUUGAACCUGAUCCGGGUCAUACCGGCGUAGGAAAUUAC
RNAcentral lists this non-coding RNA (78 nucleotides) under bovine gut metagenome. Its description in RNAcentral is "TPP riboswitch (THI element)". It matches the Rfam family "TPP riboswitch aptamer (THI element)", at positions 9 to 90 of the family's 105-position model. Rfam says of the family: Vitamin B(1) in its active form thiamin pyrophosphate (TPP) is an essential coenzyme that is synthesised by coupling of pyrimidine and thiazole moieties in bacteria. The previously detected thiamin-regulatory element, thi box was extended, resulting in a new, highly conserved RNA secondary structure, the THI element, which is widely distributed in eubacteria and also occurs in some archaea. The record is from RNAcentral.